This 492-nucleotide ribosomal RNA is filed under the name Colletotrichum cf. gloeosporioides ROG-2010. RNAcentral describes it as "eukaryotic LSU rRNA". The stretch from base 178 to 331 matches the Rfam family "5.8S ribosomal RNA". Lineage: Eukaryota; Fungi; Ascomycota; Sordariomycetes; Glomerellales; Glomerellaceae. The record is from RNAcentral.
CAUUACUGAGUUUACGCUCUACAACCCUUUGUGAACAUACCUAUAACUGUUGCUUCGGCGGGUAGGGUCUCCGCGACCCUCCCGGCCUCCCGCCUCCGGGCGGGUCGGCGCCCGCCGGAGGAUAACCAAACUCUGAUUUAACGACGUUUCUUCUGAGUGGUACAAGCAAAUAAUCAAAACUUUUAACAACGGAUCUCUUGGUUCUGGCAUCGAUGAAGAACGCAGCGAAAUGCGAUAAGUAAUGUGAAUUGCAGAAUUCAGUGAAUCAUCGAAUCUUUGAACGCACAUUGCGCCCGCCAGCAUUCUGGCGGGCAUGCCUGUUCGAGCGUCAUUUCAACCCUCAAGCUCUGCUUGGUGUUGGGGCCCUACAGCUGAUGUAGGCCCUCAAAGGUAGUGGCGGACCCUCCCGGAGCCUCCUUUGCGUAGUAACUUUACGUCUCGCACUGGGAUCCGGAGGGACUCUUGCCGUAAAACCCCCAAUUUUCCAAAGGU